GAUCUGGGUUAUUUCAUUCCUUCUACUUGCUCUGGGCUGUCUUUGUUGUCCUUCCUCAAGUUCUUGUAAGUGUAGGGUUAAGUUGUUUUUUUUUAAUGUUUCUAUCUUUUUUAGGUAGGCGUGUGUCGCUACAAACUUCCCUCUGAGGGCUGUCCUCACGUGUCCCAUAAGUUUUGGGUUGUUGUGAGUUCAUUUUCAUUUGUUUCCAGAAACCUUUUGAUUACUUCCCUAAUUUCAUCCUUGACCCUUUCGUUGUUUAAUAGCAUGCUAUUUAAUCUCCAUGAUUUUGAGUGUUUUGGGUUAUUUUCCUUGAGUUUGGUUUCUAGUUUCAAUCCCUUGAUGUCAG
Phyllostomus discolor (pale spear-nosed bat) is the source of this 346-nucleotide long non-coding RNA. RefSeq lists it as uncharacterized. NCBI's taxonomy places the organism in Eukaryota, Metazoa, Chordata, Mammalia, Chiroptera, Phyllostomidae. The record is from RefSeq and is a predicted model, not a curated record. The transcript has 2 exons.